CCUACGGGAGGCUGCAGUGGGGAAUAUUGGACAAUGGGCGAAAGCCUGAUCCAGCCAUGCCGCGUGUGUGAAGAAGGCCUUCGGGUUGUAAAGCACUUUUAGUGGGGAAGAAAGCCUUGGGGCUAAUACCCUCGAGGAAGGACAUCACCCACAGAAGAAGCACCGGCUAACUCCGUGCCAGCAGCCGCGGUAAUACGGAGGGUGCGAGCGUUAAUCGGAAUUACUGGGCGUAAAGCGCGCGUAGGCGGUCUGAUAAGCCGGUUGUGAAAGCCCCGGGCUCAACCUGGGAACGGCAUCCGGAACUGUCAGGCUAGAGUGCAGGAGAGGAAGGUAGAAUUCCCGGUGUAGCGGUGAAAUGCGUAGAGAUCGGGAGGAAUACCAGUUGCGAAGGCGGCCUUCUGGACUGACACUGACGCUGAGGUGCGAAAGCGUGGGUAGCAAACAGGAUUAGAUACCCGGGUAGUC
RNAcentral lists this ribosomal RNA (465 nucleotides) under Vreelandella stevensii. Its description in RNAcentral is "partial 16S ribosomal RNA". It matches the Rfam family "Bacterial small subunit ribosomal RNA", at positions 338 to 795 of the family's 1533-position model. Lineage: Bacteria; Pseudomonadati; Pseudomonadota; Gammaproteobacteria; Oceanospirillales; Halomonadaceae. The record is from RNAcentral.